CCUACGGGUGGCAGCAGUAGGGAAUAUUGGUCAAUGGGCGAGAGCCUGAACCAGCCAUGCCGCGUGCAGGAAGACGGCCUUCUGGGUUGUAAACUGCUUUUAUCAGGGAACAAAACGGCCAUGCGUGGCAAACUGAGUGUACCUGAUGAAUAAGCACCGGCUAACUCCGUGCCAGCAGCCGCGGUAAUACGGAGGGUGCAAGCGUUGUCCGGAUUUAUUGGGUUUAAAGGGUGCGUAGGCGUCCCAUCAAGUUUCUGGUGAAAUCCUCGAGCUCAACUCGAGAACUGCCGGGAAAACUGCUGGGAUUGAGUAUAGUUGAGGUAGGCGGAAUUCAUGGUGUAGCGGUGAAAUGCAUAGAUACCAUGAAGAACACCAAUAGCGUAGGCAGCUUACUAAACUAUAACUGACGCUGAGGCACGAAAGCGUGGGGAGCGAACAGG
This 440-nucleotide ribosomal RNA is filed under the name uncultured bacterium. Its description in RNAcentral is "bacterial SSU rRNA". It matches the Rfam family "Bacterial small subunit ribosomal RNA", at positions 338 to 776 of the family's 1533-position model. The record is from RNAcentral.